This 274-nucleotide ribosomal RNA is filed under the name uncultured bacterium. RNAcentral's name for it is "partial 16S ribosomal RNA". It matches the Rfam family "Bacterial small subunit ribosomal RNA", at positions 523 to 796 of the family's 1533-position model. The record is from RNAcentral.
AUACGGAGGGUGCAAGCGUUAUUCGGAAUCACUGGGCGUAAAGGACGCGUAGGCGGGUUGGCAAGUCAGAUGUGAAAUCCUACAGCUUAACUGUAGAACUGCAUUUGAAACUGCUAACCUAGAGUAUGGGAGGGGGAGAUGGAAUUAGUUGUGUAGGGGUAAAAUCCGUAGAUAUCACUAGGAAUACCGAAAGCGAAGGCGAUUUCCUGGAACAUAACUGACGCUAAGGCGUGAAAGCGUGGGGAGCAAACAGGAUUAGAUACCCUAGUAGUCC